Molecule: ribosomal RNA, 898 nt
Filed under: Chloroflexota bacterium
Lineage: Bacteria; Bacillati; Chloroflexota
Description: bacterial SSU rRNA
Rfam family: Bacterial small subunit ribosomal RNA
Source: RNAcentral
CCAAUGGAGAGUUUGAUCCUGGCUCAGGAUAAACGCUGGCGGCGUGCCUUACGCAUGCAAGUCGAACGAAGCCCCCCGCUUCGGUGGGGGUGACUGAGUGGCAAACGGCUGAGUAACGCGUAGGUGAUCUGUCCCGAGGAGGGGAACAACCCGUGGAAACGCGGGCUAAUGCCCCAUACGCCCACCGGAUCGGACCGGUGGGGAAAUGUUCCGGCGCCUUGGGAGGAGCCUGCGUCCGAUUAGCUGGUUGGUGGGGUAACGGCCUACCAAGGCGACGAUCGGUAGCUGGUCUGAGAGGAUGAUCAGCCAGACUGGGACUGAGACACGGCCCAGACUCCUACGGGAGGCAGCAGCGAGGAAUCUUGCGCAAUGGGCGAAAGCCUGACGCAGCAACGCCGCGUGGGUGAUGAAGGCCUUCGGGUUGUAAAUCCCUUUUGCCGGGGAAGAACUUUGACGGUACCCGGCGAAUAAGCCACGGCUAACUACGUGCCAGCAGCCGCGGUAAGACGUAGGUGGCGAGCGUUAUCCGGAUUUACUGGGCGUAAAGCGUACGUAGGCGGCGCCGAAAGUCUGCCGUGAAAUCUCCCGGCUCAACCGGGAGCGGUCGGUGGAAACUUCGACGCUCGAGGGGCGUAGAGGCAAGCGGAAUUCCCGGAGUAGUGGUGGAAUGCGUAGAUACCGGGAGGAACACCAGUGGCGCAAGCGGCUUGCCAGGCGCAUCCUGACGCUGAGGUACGAAAGCGUGGGUAGCGAACCGGAUUAGAUACCCGGGUAGUCCACGCCGUAAACGAUGGAUGCUAGUCGUGGGGGGUAUCGACCCCCUCUGUGACGCAGCUAACGCAAUAAGCAUCCCGCCUGGGGAGUACGGCCGCAAGGCUAAAACUCAAAGGAAUUGACG